Molecule: ribosomal RNA, 196 nt
Filed under: uncultured bacterium
Lineage: Bacteria
Description: partial 16S ribosomal RNA
Rfam family: Bacterial small subunit ribosomal RNA
Source: RNAcentral
ACGCUCGACACCUACGGGGGCAGCAGUGGGGAAUAUUGCACAAUGGGGGGAACCCUGAUGCAGCGACGCCGCGUGAGUGAAGAAGUACUUCGGUAUGUAAAGCUCUAUCAGCAGGGAAGAAAAUGACGGUACCUGACUAAGAAGCCCCGGCUAACUACGUGCAGCAGCCGCGGUAAUCUGAGCGGGCUGGCAAGGC